CUUUAGAAAGAUUCGCAAAUUUUCCGGCGAAAUGGAACAGAUUCGCUCAUCACUAGUUAGGAGUAACUGUUGCACGUAAGCCUUUAAGACUGCAGUGUAUAGUGGCAUUUGUGACAAUUCUGUGCUUCCUACUUUGCGGCAACAGUUGGAAAAGUACCUUUCCCAUUUCAGCAAAAUAAUGUCCCUAUGCAUAAAGUGAGUUUUGUACAGAAGGGGUUUGCUAAGAUGGGAUCUUGACUUGAACAGAGCCCUGAGCUCAACCCUACUGUAACCUGUGGAAUCCAUUGGAACACACCAACCCUACUAAACACGUGGAAUGAACUGGAAUGCCAACUGUGAGACAGGCCUGAUCCCCAACAUCAAUAACGUUCUUGUGGCUCAAAUGGAAGCAAAUCCCACCAACAGUGUUCGAUUCCAACUUUCCUAGGAAAGUAGAGGCUCCUAUAGCAGCCAAAGAGGACUGGCUUCAUGUUCAUAUCCGUGGAUUCAGAAAGAGAUGAUACAACAAUAUUAAGAUGAGCUGUUCAGCAGGCAGACCAAAACCAGAUUGCCAAAAGCACAAGGGGAAACAACAAUAGUGUAUACAACAGCAGGUUGAUUCUGUGCACAUAACAUUAAGAGACUUGGAAUGUUCAGCUCCAUCAGCUUUUCUGCACUGGUGAGCCCAGAUUAUGUGGAAUAUUCAAUUAAUCACUUUACAUUGAUGCCUACCUUCACAAAGAGAAAUCUGCUACCCAAACUGACUUUAUCAAUCUGACACUAUGUGGUGUUUAGAUUUACAAUAGCAGUAACUUAUUGUUCCUGUGGAUAUUGUAUUAUAAACUGUAUAUUUAUGCACGCUAACUGCGUCCUGUGUCAUAAACAAUAUUAAAUCUCAGGUAGGCAAUUUAUCAAAAUUAGAACAUUCUUGAUUUUUCUCACUGAAUUUCACAUAUGAGAAAUGUUGCAUAUCUUGCAUUUUAUUUAGUUCUUGAGAAUUCAUAAUUUGUCUUUUGAUUUUCUCGAACAUGAGAGCUCAAACAACAUUUUUACUCUCAUCAUUAGUGUUAGAAAAAGAUUUAGUUUUAUAGUAAAGCAACGUGAGAAUCUUGACAAUUCUUGAGUUAAGUAAAUAAAGAGAUUUAAUCAUUUUCAUCAGAUUUUUAUUCAAACACAAAUGAUUUUCAAAUUGGUUUGAAUAAAUUCUUGUAGGUUUAGUCUACCCUUUUUUAAGGAAAAAAAGACAACAAUAAUAAUGUUUGAGAAAAAAGAAUUAGAAAAAACAUGGGAAAAGGAAUCUUUUUUACUCUAGAGAACCCUUAAAUUUGAUAAAAUCGUCAAUAUCAUUUGUUCAGUGCUACACAGGCAGCAAUCAUGUUGCACUGUCCGAUAAUGGCAUAUUGUUUUUAAUCAAAACAUUGACUCUGUAAAAGCAUAGUUAUCAUUCACACAGGAGUGCUCCUGUCACAGUGUGAAAUUGUAUUAUUAUUAUUAUUAUUACUACAGAGAUGUGUAAUGUCAGAAGGAAAAGACAUCCCAUACAAACUCAAACAGUGCUUUUUAAUUUACCAUUCUGCAGGGACAGUUUCACUAUUAAAUUAAUGAUAAAAGAAUAGGAAAGAAAACUAUUUCUCAGGCUAAUCUCAACUUAUAUAUACAGCUUGGAUAGAAGGCAGAGGGGUGAUUUGACUGAAACCUUUACAUUAUUCAAAGGGCUUAAAAUCCAGGAGGGAAGUACAUUUCAGAAGAAGAGGAAUAAUAGAGAAAGAGGUCAUGCCCUGAAGCUCUGCAGUUUGAAGCUGAAAAGUUAUGUUAAAACAAAUUAGUUACAUUUUACUGAAUACUUGGAACUCCUUCCAAAUGUAAUAGAGGCUGAAACAACAGACGCUGUUAAAUCGCUUUGGAUAAUUGUGUUCCAGGAAGCAAAUGGAACAUUCUUCAAGCAUAUUUUUAAACAGAUAAGUUAUUGGUUAGAUUAGAUGGCAUCUUGUGUUUUUUAUUUGUUGUUCUCUUUUUACUGACGUCAUACUGUGUUUAUAACUGUUGAUGUUAAAGGGAAUCUGUCACCCUAAGAAAUCAUUCCUAAUUCUUUUCUAUUGUGUUUGUCAAGCAAAAUUAACUUCACUUACACCAUGUAAGUAAUAUAAAUAUGGUCUCCUACAGUCUUGGAAUUACACAAUUACAAUAAGCAGGAAGGUGCCAUUUUGUUAGUA
Xenopus tropicalis (tropical clawed frog) is the source of this 2192-nucleotide long non-coding RNA. RefSeq lists it as uncharacterized. The record is from RefSeq and is a predicted model, not a curated record. NCBI's taxonomy places the organism in Eukaryota, Metazoa, Chordata, Amphibia, Anura, Pipidae. The transcript is spliced from 3 exons.